GUUAAGUUAAUUUUUCGGUUGAUACCUACAAUAUUUUGACUCUUCAUCUUAUUUGAUUUUUUUUACGAUUAAUAUUUUUAUUGUUACUAGAUGGUAAAAUAUGAAUAAUACUUUAUGCGUGACUAAUUUUUUAAGUUUUUUUAUAAAAUUUUUAAAUAAGACGAAUGAUCAAAUGUUUAGACACAUAAAUCGAAAAAUAAAGUUAUU
Molecule: microRNA precursor, 207 nt
Filed under: Oryza brachyantha (malo sina)
Lineage: Eukaryota; Viridiplantae; Streptophyta; Magnoliopsida; Poales; Poaceae
Description: MIR812 microRNA precursor family
Rfam family: MIR812 microRNA precursor family
Source: Rfam by way of RNAcentral